AGUGAACGCUGGCGGCAGGCCUAACACAUGCAAGUCGAGCGGCAGCGCGGGGGCAACCCUGGCGGCGAGCGGCGGACGGGUGAGGAAUUCGUCGGAAUCUGCCUUUUUGUGGGGGAUAACGUAGGGAAACUUACACUAAUACCGCAUACGUCCUACGGGAGAAAGUGGGGGACCGCAAGGCCUCACGCAGAAAGAUGAGCCGACGACCGUUUAGCUAGUUGGUGGGGUAAAGGCCCACCAAGGCGACGAUCGGUAGCUGGUCUGAGAGGAUGAUCAGCCACACUGGGACUGAGACACGGCCCAGACUCCUACGGGAGGCAGCAGUGGGGAAUAUUGGACAAUGGGCGCAAGCCUGAUCCAGCCAUGCCGCGUGUGUGAAGAAGGCCUUCGGGUUGUAAAGCACUUUUGUCCGGAAAGAAAUCCCUGGAGCUAAUACCUUCGGGGGAUGACGGUACCGGAAGAAUAAGCACCGGCUAACUUCGUG
Molecule: ribosomal RNA, 484 nt
Filed under: uncultured bacterium
Lineage: Bacteria
Description: partial 16S ribosomal RNA
Rfam family: Bacterial small subunit ribosomal RNA
Source: RNAcentral